Molecule: transfer RNA, 99 nt
Organism: Tuber melanosporum (Perigord truffle)
Lineage: Eukaryota; Fungi; Ascomycota; Pezizomycetes; Pezizales; Tuberaceae
Rfam family: tRNA
About the family: Transfer RNA (tRNA) molecules are approximately 80 nucleotides in length. Their secondary structure includes four short double-helical elements and three loops (D, anti-codon, and T loops).
Source: Rfam
GACAACGUGGCCGAGUGGUUAAGGCGACAGACUCGAAUCCCCAAAAAUUCUAGUUAUCUGUUUCGUUCGCGAGCACAGGUUCAAAUCCUGUCGUUGUCG